This 502-nucleotide ribosomal RNA is filed under the name Platerodrilus sp. UPOL VP2311. RNAcentral describes it as "partial large subunit ribosomal RNA". The stretch from base 365 to 502 matches the Rfam family "Bacterial large subunit ribosomal RNA", at positions 2473 to 2611 of the family's 2925-position model. The record is from RNAcentral. Lineage: Eukaryota; Metazoa; Arthropoda; Insecta; Coleoptera; Lycidae.
AUGUCUUUUUGAUUUUGAUUUAAGGUUUAAUCUGCUCAAUGAUUAAUUAAAUUGCCGCAGUAUUUUAACUGUGCUAAGGUAGCAUAAUCAUUAGUUUCUUAAUUGGGAACUGGAAUGAAUGAUUGGACAAGAUGAUUUCUGUCUCUUUUUAAAUUGAUUUUAAAUUUUAUUUUUAAGUUAAAAAGCUUAAAUAAUUUUAAAAGACGAGAAGACCCUAUAGAAUUUUACAUUAUAUUAUUUUUAGUAACUUAUGUUAAUGUUUAUUUGGGGUGACUUGAAGAUUAAAUUAAUUCUUUAAAUUUUAUAUUGAUGAUAAUUAAUUUGAAAUUUUAAUGAUUUUAAAAAUAAAACGAAUUACCUUAGGGAUAACAGCGUAAUUUUCCUUUAAAGUUCUUAUUAUAAGGAAAGUUUGCGACCUCGAUGUUGGAUUAAAAUUUAUUUUUGGCGCAGUAGCUUAAAAAUUAGGUCUGUUCGACCUUUGAAAUUUUACAUGAUCUGAGUU